AGAAAGAAACCCUGUAGAGAGAUUGCGGCAUUUGGUUUCGAAGAGCUGGCGAUGACUCACCCAGACACUGAAGGAGGAGAGACGCGAAACAAGAGAUGUUGAGCUUGGGAGGCGUUAUUUUCAAUAACUCCCAAUAACAACAAGAGAUGGCCUCCGGAGUUGUUGUUCCCCUGCAACAGCCAGAGGUUAUCUCGAUGACAAGGAAGAUAUUGUGAAAACUAAUGAAAUGCUUAUUGAUUGAAUGAGCUGUUGUGCUCGGCAUUCGAAUGGCUUCAAUAAGGUAUCAGCCCACGCGAGCUGGUGGGUGCAUGCAUUUAUGUACGGGUGUGUGUAUUUGGUGCGCACGUGCGUGCAUGGUAAUGGUUGAAAUUGUACAAGUUCUAUAAUCAUGAAAAGAUUAUCUCGGUGACAAGGAAGAUAUUACGAUUACUAAUUGAAUGCUUAUUGAUUGCUUGAGCUGUCGUGCCCGGAAUUCUAAAAUGGCUUCAAUAAGGUAUAAUCUAGACUAAAUAUUUGUUUUUGUUAUGAUUUUUAAUUUUGGACAUUAGCGCUUGAGAGGGGGUGGUUGCGUGUGUUUGGUCCACGCGAAAAUGUGGGUGUGGUUGCCUGCAUGCACUUGUGUAUGGGUGUGUGGUAUUGGUUGAACCUACACAGUUCUACAAGCCAAGCAUGCAAGGGUACCAUUUCUAGCUUUUGAGUAUGGCUCUCUCACUCUCAAUCUUGCCAUUUGUCUCUAUGAGUAUAGUUUCUUGUUUUUUAGUAGAGCUCUAAUUUUUUGUAGCUGUGGGAUGCAUGCGUGCAUGGAUGUAUGUGUCUGUUAAGGUGUACGAGAGGUUGUGUUUGUAGUAUGUGCUUGUUUUUGUGUGCAUGUGUGCGUUUGGUUUUGUGGGUUUGUGUGCAGGUGCGUGAGGGUUUGUUUGCGGCUACGUGCUUGCAUUUUUGUUUGCUAUUGGUUGAAUUUGUACAUUUGUACAAUCAUGCAAAGGUUAUGUUUAUUAUUUUUUAGUAAAUUUCUGUUACUUUGAAUCUUGUAUUUGUCUCUUUUUGUAUUGUUUCUUAUUUUUUUAGUUGAUCUUUGUGUUUGUGUGUGCAUGUGUGUGCGCAUUUGUUAGUGCAUAUGUGAUUGGGUGGGUUUGCGGGCUUUGGUUUGGGUUGGGUUGUGUGCGACUAGGUAUGUGUAUUUGCUACGCAUGUGAGCGCUUGCUAUUAUUGGUUGAUGCUGUACAACUUCUAUAGCAUGCAAAGGUACCGUUUCUUACUUUUCACUACAACUAUCUCUCUCUCUCUCUCUCUCUCUCUCUCUCUCUCACACACACACACACACACACUCUCUCUCUCUCUCUCUCUCUCUCUCUCUCUCUCUCUCUCUCUCUAUUUUUUGUCUCUCUGGUAAAUUGGAUUGAACCUAUGUAAAGGUGGAAACUACAAUUAGUAGUAUGCCGACGCAUGAGUCACUUUUUUUAAUAUAGGUAUGACAUGGAUGGCAUUUAAUUUUCUUUUCCUCUCAAAUUAUCUCUGUGACUAUGAAGAUAUUGCGAUUACUAAUGGAAUGCUUAUUGAUUGAUUGAGUUGUCAUGCCUAACAUUCUAAUGGUUUCAAUAAGAUAUAAUCUAGACUAACUUUUUGUUUUUAUUAUGAUGUUUAAUUUCAGGCGUAAGCCCGCACGAGCUUGUGGGUGCAUGCACUUAUGUAUGGGUGUGUGUAUUUGGUGCGCACGUGUGUGCAUGGUAUUGGUUAAAAUUGUACAUGUUCUAUAAUUUUGGAAAUGUACUGUUUUGACUUUUCAUUAUAGCUCUCUCACUCGCUCUCUCUAUUUUUUGUCUCUUUGUGUAUAUUAGAUUGCAUCUGUGUAAAGGAGGAAACUUCAAUUAAUUGAAUUUGGACCCAAGAUUUGCUUUUUUUAAUAUAUGUAGGAUUUUAAAGACAAUCACUUUUAGUUUCUGUUUAGAUUAUCUCGGUGACAAGGAAGAUACUGCGAUUACUAAUGGAAUGCUUAUUGAUUGCUUGAGCUGUUGUGCCCAAAAUUCUAAAAUGGUUUCAAUAAGGUAUAAUCUGGACUAAAUAUUUGUUUUUGUUAUGAUUUUUAAUUUUGGACAUUAGUGCUUGCGAGUUGGUGGUUGUGGGUGUUUGGUCCGCGCGAAGAUGUGCAUGUGGUUGCCUGCAUGCACUUGUGUAUGGGUCUGUGGUAUUGGUUGAACCUACACAGUUAUACAAGCAUGCAAGGGUACCAUUUCUAGCUUUUGAGUAUGGCUCUCUCACUCUCACACUUGCUAUUUGAGUCUAUGUGUAUUGUUUCUUGGUUUUAGUAGAGCUCUGAUUUUUUGUAGCUGUGGGAUGCAUGCGUGCGUGGAUGUAUGUGUCUGUUCAGUUGUGCAAGAGGUUGUGUUUGUAGGUAUGUGCUUGUUUUUGUGUGGAUGUGGGUUUGUAAUGAUGUUUGGGUGUGUGGGGGGUGUGUAUGUGUGUGCCGGUGUGCGUGUGUUUGUGUAUAUAUGUGUGUUUCAAUAUAUGCUUGAUUAUGUGUGCAAAUGUGUGUGUGUUUGGGUGUUUGUCCGAGUGCUUGUGUGUGUACGUUUGUGCGCAUGUGUGUUUGGAUGUGAGUGGUUGCAGGUGUAGGUGCUUGAGGGUUUUGUUUGCUGGUUUGUGCGUGCGUGUGUAUGUGUGUGCGCUGGUGUGUGGGUGUGUUUGGGUGUGUAAGAUUUGAGAGUUUGUUUGCAGGUAUGUGUGUACAUUUGUGUUGUUCAUGUGUGCACGUGUGUGUGCUGGUGUGCAUGUGUGUGUAAGAUUUGUGUGUUACAGUGUGUGUGCUUACUUGUACGAGUGUGUUCGUAUGUGUGUGUGUUCUUGAGCAUGUGCACAUGUGCUCGCUCAUGCGUGUUGUUUUGGUGUGUGGGUGUUUGCAGUACUUUCGUGAGUGUGUACAUGUGUGUGUUUGGUUUUUUGGGUUUGUGUACAAGUGCGUGAGGGUUUGUUUGUGGCUAUGUGCAUGCGUUUUUGUUUGCUAUUGGUUGAAUUUGUACAUUUGUACAAUCAUGCAAAGGUUAUGUUUCUUAUUUUUUAGUAAAUGUCUCUUACCCUGAAUAUUGUAUUUGUCUCUUUUUGUAUUGUUUCUUAUUUUUUUAGUUGAUCUCUAUGUUUGUGUCUGCAUGUGUGUGCGCACUUGUUAGUGCAUAUGUGAUUGGGUGGGUUUGCGGCCUGGUUUGGGUUGGGUUGUGUGCGUCUUGGUAUGUGUAUUUGGUGCACACGUGAGUGCAUGGUAUUGGUUGAUGCUGUACAAAUUCUAUAGUAUGCAAAUGUAUUUUUUCUAACUUUUCACUACAACUCUCUCUCUCUCUCUCUCUCUCUCUCUCUCUCUCUCUCUCUCUCUCUCUCUUUAUUUUUUGUCUCUCUAGUAAAUUGGAUUGAAUCUAUGUAAAGGAGGAAACAACAAUUAGUAGUAUGCCAGCGCAUGAGUCGCUCUUUUUAAUAUAUGUAUGACAUGGAUGACAUUUAAUUUUCUUUUACUCUCAGAUUAUCUCUCUAACUAUGAAGAUAUUGUGAUUACUAAUGGAAUGCUUAUUGAUUGAUUGAGUUGUCAUGCCCAAUAUUCUAAUGGUUUUAAUAAGAUAUAAUCUGGACUAACUUUUUGUUUUUAUUAUGAUGUUUACUUUCAGGCGUCACCCCGCACGAGCUUGUGGGUGCAUGCACUUAUGUACGGGUGUGUGUAUUUGUUGCGCAUGUGCGUGCAUGGUAUUUGUUGAAAUUGUACAAGUUCUAUAAUUAUAAAAAUGUACAAUUUCUAACUUUUCAUUAUAGCUCUCUUACUCGCUCUAUUUUUUUUUUGUCUCUUUGUGUAUAUUGGAUCGAAUCUGUGUAAAUGAGGAAACUUCUCUAAAUUGAAUUUGGACCCUAGAGUUGCUUUUUUUAAUAUAUGUUGGAUUUUAAAGGCAAUCACUUUUCUUUUCUUUUUAGAUUAUCUCGGUGACAAUGAAGAUACUGUGAUUACUAAUAGAAUGCUUAUUGAUUGCUUGAGUUGUCAUGCCUGGAAUUCUAAAAUGGCUUCAAUAAGAUUAUCUCGGUGACAAAGAAGAUAUUACAAUUACUAAUGGAAUGCUUAUUGAUUGCAUGAGAUGUCGUACCCAGCAUUCUAAUGGCUUCAAUAAGGCAUCAACUCGCGCGAGCUAGUUGGUGCGUGCACUUAUGUACGGGUGUGUGUAUUUGGUGCAUACGUGCAUGCAUUGUAAUGGUUUAAAAUGUACAAGUGUUAUAAUCAUGGAAAGGUACCAUUUCUAACUUUUCAUUACAGCUCUCUCACUCGCUCUUUCCAUUUAUUGUCUCUUUGUGUAAUUGGAUCGAAUCUGUAUAAAGGAGGAAACUUCAAUUAAUUGAAUUUGGACCUUAGAGUUGCUUUUUUUAAUAUAUGUAGGACUUUAAAGGCAAUUACUUUUCUUUUCUUUUCAGAUUAUCUCGGUGGCAAAGAAGAUAUUUACGAUUACUAAUGGAAUGCUUGUUGAGUGCAUGAGAUGUCGUACCCAGCAUUCUAAUGGCUUCAAUAAGCUCGUGCGAGCUAUUUGUUGCGUGUGUGCGGCAGCGCGAAGAUGUGCAUGCACUUGUGUACAGGUGUGUGUAUUUGGUGUGCACAUGUGUGCAUGAUAUUGGUUGAAGUUGUACAAGUUCUAUAAUCAUGCAAAGAGUCAUGACGUCACUAUGCCCAAGACAUCACGACUCACGCUGGAGUUAAAGUCUUCAACCCAUUGCCCACGACGCCACGAAUUCACGAGUCACGGACUCACAUCGCCCAAUAUAGAGUCACGACUCAUGGUCUCACAUUGCCCAAUACAGAGUCAUGAUCUCAUGUCGCCCACGCCCAUUGCGGCGUUGCCCAGUACAGAGUCACGAUCUCAACUCACGGACUCACGAGUCCUAAUUUGGUUAAGUCCUAAGUUGUAAACUUGUAACCUAGAUUUGUUUAUUUGUUUAGUAGCACUUUGAUUUAUUAUUUAUUUGUGCAUGAUUUUCUUUCUUCCUUGAUAUUGGAAAUGCAAAAAUUUAUUUCUUCUUGUUCAAAUAUAGUCAUUUGUAUCUGGUUUACUCCACAAUGCCAUCUUCCUAUUGGAUGUGUUUGAACUUGCAAACAAAAAGGGAUAAUAAUACAUAUUUGGGAA
Molecule: long non-coding RNA, 5141 nt
Organism: Carya illinoinensis
Lineage: Eukaryota; Viridiplantae; Streptophyta; Magnoliopsida; Fagales; Juglandaceae
Exons: 8
Source: RefSeq, a predicted model, not a curated record